RNAcentral lists this ribosomal RNA (120 nucleotides) under Phascolarctos cinereus (koala). The record is from RNAcentral. Lineage: Eukaryota; Metazoa; Chordata; Mammalia; Diprotodontia; Phascolarctidae.
GUCUAUGGCCAUAUGACCCUGAAUGCCCCCAUUCUCAUCUGCUCAAAUAAAAGCUAAGCAGAACUAAACCAACUAGUGCUUGGAUAAAAGACAGCCUUAGAAUACUGGGUGCUGUAGACA